Molecule: transfer RNA, 80 nt
Filed under: Lachnospiraceae bacterium
Lineage: Bacteria; Bacillati; Bacillota; Clostridia; Lachnospirales; Lachnospiraceae
Description: tRNA-Leu
Rfam family: tRNA
About the family: Transfer RNA (tRNA) molecules are approximately 80 nucleotides in length. Their secondary structure includes four short double-helical elements and three loops (D, anti-codon, and T loops). Further hydrogen bonds mediate the characteristic L-shaped molecular structure. tRNAs have two regions of fundamental functional importance: the anti-codon, which is responsible for specific mRNA codon recognition, and the 3' end, to which the tRNAs corresponding amino acid is attached (by aminoacyl-tRNA synthetases). tRNAs cope with the degeneracy of the genetic code in two manners: having more than one tRNA (with a specific anti-codon) for a particular amino acid; and 'wobble' base-pairing, i.e. permitting non-standard base-pairing at the 3rd anti-codon position.
Source: RNAcentral
GCGGAUAUGGUGGAAGUGGCAGACACGCCAGAUUUAGGUUCUGGUCCGCGAGGGUGCAGGUUCAAGUCCUGUUAUCCGCA